This 76-nucleotide transfer RNA is filed under the name Candidatus Muproteobacteria bacterium RBG_16_65_34. Its description in RNAcentral is "tRNA-Ala". It matches the Rfam family "tRNA". From Rfam's summary of the family: Transfer RNA (tRNA) molecules are approximately 80 nucleotides in length. The record is from RNAcentral. Lineage: Bacteria; Pseudomonadati; Pseudomonadota; Candidatus Muproteobacteria.
GGGGCGGUAGCUCAGAUGGGAGAGCGCUGCGUUCGCAAUGCAGAGGUCGAGGGUUCGAUCCCCUUCCGCUCCACCA